CCUCUCUAGGCUGCACCAGGGGCUGCCAGCUGCUGAGGAUACAGCCUGGUCCUGCUCCUCUUCCAGCAGCUUCUGCCCAGGGUGGAACCAAAGUCUCCAUAUUCCUAAGAACGACUCUUCCAACAGCCUCAGUUCCUGCCUUGGGCCAAGUCAGGGGAUCAGCCUAGCCAAGUUCUGAGCCCAAGUCAGGCACUGCUGAAACCAGUCUCAGCAACUCCUCCUACAACAGCAGGACCAGGUUGGAAGAUUACAGAAUGCUCUGAGCACUUUGGGACCCUCUUGGAUUACUGCCCUCUUCCAAACUCCAAAAUCUUUGGAAGUCAUAAUUCUGGGGAGAGCCCCUGACGAGCCCUGGAGACACACAGAGCUCUGCGUUCACGGCGCAGCCGCCAGCCCUGGCCGGGACCUAUUUCCACAGGGAGGAGGACAAUGCCUGCCGCCUCCAAAGCUGAGAGGAAGCCUGAACCUGGAGGAAAGGAGCAGGAGCCACAUGAUAACAGGCACACGGGGUCAUCUUGGUUUAAGGAGGAGAGUUUUCUCUGAUCUUGGGCAUUUCGGAGGCUGCCAUCACACUGCACCAAGAUAUCCAAGCAGGCCCACCAGCUGGACAUCCACAAGGAGGACCUUGAAGCAAACACUUCGCUUAUUCAGGAUACAAGUGUCCAUAAUUCUGUAAUUGCCUUUCUUAUUCACUGUAUGCCCUUGAGCAAUCACCUUAAGAUGUUUGUUCCU
Molecule: long non-coding RNA, 732 nt
Organism: Capra hircus (goat)
Lineage: Eukaryota; Metazoa; Chordata; Mammalia; Artiodactyla; Bovidae
Exons: 3
Source: RefSeq, a predicted model, not a curated record